This 84-nucleotide transfer RNA is filed under the name Candidatus Peribacteria bacterium. RNAcentral describes it as "tRNA-Leu". It matches the Rfam family "tRNA". From Rfam's summary of the family: Transfer RNA (tRNA) molecules are approximately 80 nucleotides in length. Their secondary structure includes four short double-helical elements and three loops (D, anti-codon, and T loops). Further hydrogen bonds mediate the characteristic L-shaped molecular structure. tRNAs have two regions of fundamental functional importance: the anti-codon, which is responsible for specific mRNA codon recognition, and the 3' end, to which the tRNAs corresponding amino acid is attached (by aminoacyl-tRNA synthetases). tRNAs cope with the degeneracy of the genetic code in two manners: having more than one tRNA (with a specific anti-codon) for a particular amino acid; and 'wobble' base-pairing, i.e. permitting non-standard base-pairing at the 3rd anti-codon position. The record is from RNAcentral. Lineage: Bacteria; Candidatus Peregrinibacteriota; Candidatus Peribacteria.
GCCCGGGUGGUGGAAUUGGCAGACACGCUAGCUUCAGGUGCUAGUAAUCGCAAGAUUGUGCAGGUUCAAGUCCUGUUCCGGGUA